This 503-nucleotide ribosomal RNA is filed under the name uncultured bacterium. RNAcentral describes it as "partial 16S ribosomal RNA". It matches the Rfam family "Bacterial small subunit ribosomal RNA", at positions 31 to 523 of the family's 1533-position model. The record is from RNAcentral.
AUAGAACGCUGGCGGCAGGCUUAACACAUGCAAGUCGAGCGGGGUGAUGGUGCUCGCACUAUCACUUAGCGGCGGACGGGUGAGUAAUGCUUAGGAAUCUGCCUAUUAGUGGGGGACAACAUCUCGAAAGGGAUGCUAAUACCGCAUACGUCCUACGGGAGAAAGCAGGGGAUCACUUGUGACCUUGCGCUAAUAGAUGAGCCUAAGUCGGAUUAGCUAGUUGGUGGGGUAAAGGCCUACCAAGGCGACGAUCUGUAGCGGGUCUGAGAGGAUGAUCCGCCACACUGGGACUGAGACACGGCCCAGACUCCUACGGGAGGCAGCAGUGGGGAGUAUUGGACAAUGGGGGGAACCCUGAUCCAGCCAUGCCGCGUGUGUGAAGAAGGCCUUAUGGUUGUAAAGCACUUUAAGCGAGGAGGAGGCUCUUUUGGUUAAUACCCAAGAUGAGUGGACGUUACUCGCAGAAUAAGCACCGGCUAACUCUGUGCCAGCAGCCGCCGCCC